Orbicella faveolata is the source of this 347-nucleotide long non-coding RNA. The record is from RefSeq and is a predicted model, not a curated record. Lineage: Eukaryota; Metazoa; Cnidaria; Anthozoa; Scleractinia; Merulinidae.
UUACUAUUCUAGUGACUUUUAUUGAUAGUAACUCCGAGAAACUCAAUCAUAUUUAGUGAUUGACAUUAUUGUAAUUGACUUGUAGGUUGGAGAACACAUUGACAGAGAUUGCCAGUCUGACCCAGCAGUGGCAAAGAGAAAGGCCUAUCUUAAUAGAUGUUCUGUCAAAGGAUGUAAACAAAAAGAGCUUAUUCCUGUUAGAUGUGAGUCAUGUCGGCAAAACUUUUGCUUAAAACACAGACAUGAGCAAGAUCAUAGUUGCUCUGCAGUUGUACGAGGAAGUUCUGGGAGGUUCGUUUUCUCUCUGUUAAAGAUUAAUAAAUAUCUUGAUUUCAUUGUUAUUAGCA